GGAGCGGAUGCCGAAAAGCUAACAGAGUAGGCA
Molecule: non-coding RNA, 33 nt
Filed under: unclassified sequences
Description: DUF805b RNA
Rfam family: DUF805b RNA
About the family: Bacteroidetes, Chlorobi (1 example), Proteobacteria.
Source: RNAcentral